RNAcentral lists this long non-coding RNA (266 nucleotides) under Mytilus galloprovincialis (Mediterranean mussel). Lineage: Eukaryota; Metazoa; Mollusca; Bivalvia; Mytilida; Mytilidae. The record is from RNAcentral.
GUAUAUUAUCAGCGUCAAUUCAUUUCUAUUUCCUUUUUGGGUCUUUGGUGUAAACCCCAAAAAAGUAGUUCCGACCACAAAGAGUAGUGUCCCUUUGAACGCUUGUAGAUUACAAUAGAAACUGGCAGUUUCUAUAUCGUGACGUCACAAUACAAAAUAGCAAGUCCGCAUAAACGAUCAGUGACGCAGAAAAUACAAAAUACCGGUGACGGCAAGGAUUGAUUGCCGAGUUUAUGAGCUUCGGUCCUUGCUUGGAAGUUGGAUAA